AAUUGCUUAUUUCUUUCAUAUAUAAUUUAGAAAAUUGAAUAAUAAAAAGAACUUUAAAUGUAUAAGUAUUCAAACAUGAUGUCAAAAUUCCUAAAAAAAAAAAAAAUUUACAAUUUUUUUGAUUUCAAGUUUUUUUAGUAAUUAUUGCCUCAUUUUUAUUUUAAAUUUUACCAAUAUUAUGUUAACUUUAUUAAGGUUAUAUUUUGUAGACAUUAGAAAACAUAAUUACAAGAUUCAACUUAAUUUUAAAAUAAAAGGGAACCUUAUGGACCAAGAUUUGAUGUAUUUACUGACAAAUCAACAAAACGAUGAUCUAUUGUUGGCUUUAGGCAAAUUCUCUGACAAUUUCAAGUAUAAUAAUUUUACAUUUAAAGUCUUGGUCCCUAAAGCAAUAUUGUAUCUGUUUGCUGAAUUGGAAAGAAUCUCAAGAAAUUAAAACCAACAAGGUAGUGAAUAAAUUGUCUGAUGAAGACGAUGAUUUUUUUUAGAUAAAAUGCGAUAACUCUAUUCCACAUCGAUGGUUUCACUUGGAAUGUAUUGGUUAUGCUAAAAAAACAAGUGCUUUAUUUACUUGAUUAAACAUUCUCUUGCUAAUGUAAGUUGUUAAUAUAACUGAUUUUAGUUUUUUUUUGGUUUAUCAACUU
Long non-coding RNA from Hydra vulgaris (swiftwater hydra), 644 nucleotides. RefSeq lists it as uncharacterized. The record is from RefSeq and is a predicted model, not a curated record. NCBI's taxonomy places the organism in Eukaryota, Metazoa, Cnidaria, Hydrozoa, Anthoathecata, Hydridae.